Molecule: ribosomal RNA, 374 nt
Filed under: uncultured bacterium
Lineage: Bacteria
Description: bacterial SSU rRNA
Rfam family: Bacterial small subunit ribosomal RNA
Source: RNAcentral
GUAGGGUGCGAGCGUUGUCCGGAAUUAUUGGGCGUAAAGGGCUCGUAGGCGGUCCGUCGCGUCGGGAGUGAAAACCUGCGGCUUAACUGUGGGCGUGCUUUCGAUACGGGCGGACUGGAGGUAGGCAGGGGAGAACGGAAUUCCUGGUGUAGCGGUGGAAUGCGCAGAUAUCAGGAGGAACACCGGUGGCGAAGGCGGUUCUCUGGGCCUUACCUGACGCUGAGGAGCGAAAGCGUGGGGAGCGAACAGGAUUAGAUACCCUGGUAGUCCACGCCGUAAACGUUGGGCGCUAGGUGUGGGAGGCGUUGUAAGUUUUCCGUGCCGUAGCUAACGCAUUAAGCGCCCCGCCUGGGGAGUACGGCCGCAAGGCUAAA